UUAUUUAUUUUAUUAUAAUUAUUUUUUGUUAUUUUAUUUUUUAAUAAAAAAAUUUUUAUUUAUUUUUUGUCUUAGUAUAUUUUAUAGAAUUGAUUUUUUUAAUUAUAGUUGAUUAGUAAUGUAAUUGGAUUAUUAAAUAAUUAUUUAAUUAUAAAAAAGUAGAUUUAAUUUAUUGUACCUUUUGUAUCAGGGUUUAUUAAAUUUUUAGUAUUUAUUUACUAAUCUCGAUUUAGGUUGAUUUACAAUUAAUUUAUAUUUAAUGUAUCACAAUUAUUUUUGAGUUAAUUGUAGAAAUGAAAUGUUAUUCGUUUCCUAAUAUAUCUAGUUUCUUAAGAAAAAAUUUAAUUUUUUAGCAUUAAUUGUUUUUAUUUACUUUUAUAAAUAAAAAUAUUAAUUUAUUUAUUCUUUAGGGGAUAAGCUCUAAAGCUUCCCUAUAAAUUUUAUUAAUUGAAAUAAAAUAGUAAGCUUUAAAUCAGCUAUCUUUUUGAUUACGUUUUAGUUCAUUAUUUUAUAUUUUGAUUUUAUAAUUAUUUUAGGUUUUAUAUUAAAAUUAUUAAUUUAAUUUAAAAAUUAUUGUAAUAAUGAUAAAAUUAGUAUAUUAAUUUGUUUAUAAUAUUUUUUAUUGUUAAUUUAUUAUAAGGAAUUAGGCAAAAUUAAUUUCCCCCUGUUUAUCAAAAACAUGCCCUCUUGAAAAUAUUUAGAGGCCUGACCUGCUCACUGAUAAAAUUUUAAAGACCCGCGGUAUUUUAACCGUGCAAAGGUAGCAUAAUCAUUAGUUUCUUAAUUAGAGGCUGGUAUGAAUGGUUUGACAAAAAAUUAUCUGUCUCUUAUUAAAUAAUAAAAUUUAACUUUUGAGUUAAAAGACUUAAAUUUUUCUUAAAGACGAAAAGACCCUAUAGAGCUUAACAUUUUAUUUUUAUAUAAUUUUUAGUUUAUUUUUUUAUAUUUAAAGAUAAUGUUUUGUUGGGGUGACAUAAAGAAUGAAUAAACUCUUUAUUAUAAAAUCAUUAAUUUAUGUUUAUUGUGAUCCAUAAUUUAUGAUCAUAAGAUUAAGUUACCUUAGGGAUAACAGCGUAAUUAUUUUUGAGAGCUCAUAUCGACAAAAUAGAUUGCGACCUCGAUGUUGGAUUAAGAAUAGUUUUGGGUGCAGGAGCCCAAUAAUUAGGUCUGUUCGACCUUUAAAUUCUUACAUGAUCUGAGUUCAGACCGGCGUAAGCCAGGUCGGUUUCUAUCUUAAGUUAUUUUUUUUACAUUAGUACGAAAGGACCAUGUAAUUAAAUUAUAUUUUGAUUUAUUGAUUAAAUUUAAUAUU
RNAcentral lists this ribosomal RNA (1312 nucleotides) under Kingdonella sp. RNAcentral describes it as "16S ribosomal RNA". The stretch from base 876 to 1238 matches the Rfam family "Archaeal large subunit ribosomal RNA", at positions 2150 to 2716 of the family's 2987-position model. Lineage: Eukaryota; Metazoa; Arthropoda; Insecta; Orthoptera; Acrididae. The record is from RNAcentral.